CAACAGAGACAAAUAUACACGAGGAACUGAAAACUCAAAGGUUGAGAAUCUACACUUGCCAGGAGCAAGAUGCUGCUGGUAUUCUCAUCGAGGAUGUCCCAGUGCUUCCUGGUCUUGAAACUCCAGCAAGAGCAUGCUGCCUACUCCUCGGAUUAACAUAUGCCCUAAAUCUGGAAUAUACACCCAAACUCUCAGACAUUUGAGGUCUUCUAAAGACUUUGUUUUACUGGACUUGCUGCGGCCAAAACCAACAGAAAGCUUCUUGCCUAAGCUGGUCCACCAUGAACAGUUUUAGCUCCUGUUCAACAACGUCAUACCUGGGUUUCAAAGACAGCUGUGGAGCUUAAUGGAGUGCACCCACCAACAAGUCAAUUGUUCUUUUGUUAAUUGUCCUUGUAGGCAGAUGUAGGUGGAGUUUAUGACAAAUGUUUUCACUGUGAAGAUUUUAUCAGCUGCAGGAAAUGUGUUUGUGGUGAGCCUGGCAUUUGCUGACUUGGUGGUUGCGUUCUACCCCUACCCGCUGGUGUUGUAUGCUAUCUUCCAUGAUGGCUGGUCUCUGGGUGAGACCAACUGCAAGGUGAGUGGCUUCCUGAUGGGAUUGAGCGUCAUUGGUUCCAUCUUCAACAUAACAGGCAUUGCCAUCAACCGUUAUUGUUACAUCUGCCACAGUUUCAGUUAUGACAAGCUCUACAGCUACCGCAACACGCUGCUACUGGUGGUACUCAUUUGGCUGCUGACAGUCGUAGCAAUUAUACCCAACUUCUUUGUUGGUUCGCUGCAGUAUGACCCACGCAUCUAUUCAUGCACAUUUGCACAGACAGUCAGCUCAUCCUACACCAUCACAGUGGUGGUCAUUCAUUUUUUUAUACCGAUCACUGUGGUCACCUUCUGCUACCUUCGUAUCUGGAUCCUGGUCAUCCAGGUGAGACGGAAGGUGAAGUCAGAGGUCCGCCCUCGCAUCAAGCCUAGUGACCUGAGGAAUUUUAUCACCAUGUUUGUGGUCUUUGUGCUGUUUGCAAUUUGUUGGGCACCACUCAACUUUAUUGGUCUUGCUGUUGCGAUUAACCCUGAAGCAGUGGCACCACACAUCCCAGAGUGGUUCUUUGUAGUCAGCUACUUCAUGGCUUACUUCAACAGUUGCCUUAAUGCCAUUAUCUAUGGCCUGCUGAACCAGAACUUUCGAAGAGAGUACAAACGGAUCAUUAUGUCUGUAUGGAUGCCACACCUCUUGUUCCAGGAGACAUCACGGGGGGGUACUGAGGGGCUGAAGAGUAAACCCUCCCCGGGACUAAAUAACAAUGAGCAAGUGAAAGGGGAAACUCUGUGACACUGUUUUCUUCUUCUUUCAUUACCUUAUCCCCUCUCGUCUGUGUUCACUUGUGCCAUCAAGCAUCUGUGCCAAAGCAAUGAACUAUUAGUGUGGAAAACUAAGACUGAAAUAAUAAUGGUGAAUGAAGUGGCAUAUGGACUACUGUAGCUAUGUUAUCCAGUCUUUUAAAGCUGAGGGCUCAUCAGUUUUGGUUUAUAAUGAUUUAUUCAAAUAUGAUAUGUGCUAAUUUUUCAAUAGUCCAUGGCUAAAACAGAUUUUUAGCUAGAUUUGUGUUGCUCAGUAACUAUAGUUGAUGCAUGUGAGAACAAGUUUCAAUGAAUAAAUUAAGAUAAAAAUGGAGAACACCAAAGGAAAUAUACAUACAUGCAUACAUACAUAUAUGUACACACACACACACACACACACACACACACACACACACACACACACACAUAUAUAUAUAUACAUAUAUAUACAGGGACGGCUGGUAUAAAUGGGCUAACAGAGCUAAGCCCUCCCAGGCCAACACAAAAAAGAUGAGAAAAUUAUUUUUCAAAUAACUUACAACAGAUUGUUUUAAGUUUAGGUGAAAACAAAGGAAGCAACAGCACCAAUCAGUCAAAAGAAAAACAUAGAAUAUCUCUAAAUGGGUUUAUUUUUUUACAGCCCCAGCAGAUACAGUCCGCUUUCAUUCAUUUCGUUCUUGUAAGUGAUUGACAGGUGUCAUGUCCCGCCCCCGUGAUUUACUGAUCAUGUGGGCUAACUUCAGGCAGCCCACAGGCCACUGACAUUUGACCAAUAGCAGUGAGUUAACACAGUGGUGGCUUUCAUUCAUUUCAUUCUUGUAAGUGAUUUGCAGGUGUCAUGUCCCGCCCCCGUGAUUUACUGAUCAUUUGGGCUAACUUCAGGCAGCGAACAGGCCACUGACUUUUGACCAAUAGCAGUGAGUUAACACAGCGAUGGCUUUCAUUCAUUUCGUUCUUGUAAGUGAUUGACAGGUGUCAUGUCCCACCCCGUGAUUUACUGAUCAUUUGGGCCAUAGAUAUAUAUAUAAACACUAGAUGGCUCAUGAGCACUGUCAGCCUAUGGGGAGCGACGUCGUCACAUGGCGGCCAUCUUGGGACAGGGCUGCUCGAUCACUCAUAACAUUAAAGUCAAUGAAGCAUGGAUUAUAAAAUCACUGUGGAUUGCUCAAUUUUCAACCGAUUUUAGAACACCUUGGUUUGUUAUAAACGUCAGAGAUGUACUUCUUUUACUGCUUACUCAAGAAUAAUUAAAACCAUUGAAUUCAUAUAAAAAUUAUAUUAAGUAGAUAGGUAAUAAAGAAAUAGUUAUACACACACAGAUAUUAUAAUGUCAAUCUUUAAUAUUUACAAUAUUCUAAUAGACAAAAUAAAUAAGUGAUGAUGAAUAAAUAGGGCUGCUCAGUGGUUAGCACUUUCGCCUUGCAGCAAGAAGAUCCCUGGUUCGAAUCCCGGGGUGGACCUGGGAUCUUUCUGCAUGGAGUUUGCAUGUUCUCCCUGAGCAUGCCCGUAGGUGUGAAUGCAAGUGUGAUUGUUCGUCUGUGUAUGUAGCCCUGCGACAGACUGGCGACCUGUCCAGGGUGUCCCCUGCCUUCGCCCGAGUCAGCUGGGAUAGGCUCCAGCACCCCCCGCGACCCUAAUGAGGAUAAAGCGGUGUAUGGAGAAUGGAUGGAUGGAUGAUGAAUAAAUAAGAAAAAGUAAUGCUAAAAUGAAAAAAACCCCAAUGACAUUUGAACAAAAAAUAAAUAAUGAAUAAAGAAAAAUAAUAACAGGGUUCCCACUCUUUUCAAUAAAUCAUUUUCCAGGAUUUUUGCAGUGUCCCACAACCAACUGAAGUUACAACAAUGGAGUGGGCAAUUUUUAAGUUAAUCUAGCCUUCUUAAAAAAACAAGACUAAAGAUUGAUGACCAAUAUCUCUAACUAGCUGCACGGUAUCAUGUUAAGCUUUUGAAUUUAUUUAUUUCUAAAUCUCGGGCAUGAAAGUUGUCUGCUAGCUGUCUUUUUAGUCAAAGGUUAUUUAGUGUCUUACUAUUCUUAAUUUAUGGUUUAUACUUAUAUUGUAAUCUUUAUUUACCCUGCAUUUUUAUAAAUAUAUUUUGCAGAUUUACUGUUUAAACAAGUUUUAACAAACAAAUAAAUACAACCACAACCACAAAGAAUGUAAUUUCACCUAAAGAUUAGGUUCUCAAAAAACGGUGGUCUCAGGAAAACCUAAUAAUUGAAAAUCAGAUUGUGUUCUCAGCCUUGAGUAGCCAGGCAGAAAAGAUACACAACUAUGCUGCAUUUUUCAAAAUGAAAAGCUGUGAUUUCAACAUUUAACCUGAAUCAUAGCCACAUUAAUAAGGUUUGUAAUAAACUAAACUGUUUGUAAAUCAAUCAAGAAUUGACCAAGUUAUGAGUGUUAAAGUGAGGAAAUCAUCCACCUUACCAUUGACUACAGUACAGCGCGCCAGAGCAGUCCCCUGUCCCAAGUGACGACGCUGCCGACCCCGCCUUGAGACAUCUAGUGUUUGUAUAUAUCUAUGAUUUGGGCUAACUUCAGUCAGCCCACAGGCCUUUGACGCAGUGAGAAAAGGUUAAGCUAGGGCGGGCGUUAGCAUGAACGAGGUGGAUUAUUUGCUUUCAUGUCCAUUUUCCUCAAUGUCUUUGGAGGAAAAGCUGGAAAUUAAGAGACUGGGAUCACAUCAGCCGUCGAUGUGAGCUUCUUUUCAAAUAAGGUAGGCCCAAGUUGACCUGUUAAAGGACUGUGACACCUUGUUUUUGCUGAGGUCAUCCAUUGUACUGAAGGCCUGUUUUGCACUACAUAUCGCCAAACAGUUGUAAUAAGACAGUUGCAGCAGGCUAUCUGUGGGCAAUCGUUGCAGUUGGAACACUGUGUGUGUGUGUGCGUGUGUGUGCGUGUGUGUGCGUGUGUGUGUGUGUGUGAGUGUGAGUGAGUGAGUGAGUGAGUGAGAGUGUUGAUGUAGAGUACUAAAAAAGUAUAGUAUACCUGUAAUUGAUGUAACUGUGUGUAUCAUAGGUGAUGUUGCUUUUGCAGCUGUGUUAACCAUUUAAUCGGUAUUUUGCAUUUGUUAGCCCACCCAACAAAUUUCACCACCAGCCGGUGGUAUAUGCAUAUAUAUAUGCAUACACACACACACACACACACACACACACACACACACACACACACACACACAUACUUUUGAAACUUUAGAAAAAUCUGAUCAUACUCUGGCUAGGGCUAUGGAGUUAGUUUAUAUUCCGUCAUUUACAUAUGAUCAUACAACGUUUAGUACAAGAAAUAGCAUGUUUUUAUAUAGCAGGAGUACAGGUGUGAAGCUUGAGAUGCUGGAUGAAGCAUGGUUGUGCACGAUUGCCAGAACCCUUUGCAGGAUAAACUUAACAUUUUUACCGAAUAAUUCUAUGAACAAGACACACUCUGAGCCUCAGAAGGAACUGAUGUCUUUUUGCAAUUUUCUGUUUUCUUUUGUGAGAACAAAUAGCAACUACUCCAUAUUCAAAAACAGUAGAAUUUAAUAGUUUUCCCACACAACAAAGCAACAUCACAGUUGUGUCCUUCUAAUUUACUGUUGUGUGGCUCUAUUGUUUGACAAGAAAUGGAUGCAAAAGAGACAUGCAGUAUCUGUAAUAGAGGAAAUGUCUUUCUACCCCACGAGAUGACCGUGCACUCCUCCAUUUCUGUGUCAGGAAUCGUCAGACCUCCAGGGACCUUAAAAAUGGGCAGGCACUGCCAAGAAAUGUUACUUGUUCGGCAAGGACAGUUCGAAAUUGACAUCUUGAAGCUGGUCUGAAGUCACACAGGGCACAGAAGAAGCCCCCGACCAAGUCGGCCCAUAGUCAAGUCAGCCCCAUGCAAACUCGGCCCCUUAUCACAAACACAAUUGAGGCCAGUGAAUAGGUGCCAGCUUAUUAAUUAAUCCAAUCCAAUUGGCCAGAACUUUGUAUGUUACUGCCGGCUUGAAUUAUAAUAUGACACUGCAAUAACUGCAAAAAACUGCCUGUAAUUGCUGUCAUAAUGGGGCUGUAAUUGCUGUCAUAAUAGCCCUGUAUUACUAACCAUACAAUCAUUUACUGCAAUCAACUGCAGUCACUGCAAAAACUGCCUGUAAUUGCUGUCAUAAUGGGGCCGAGUAGACUAGGGGCCAACUUGGUAUGGGGCCGACUUGGUCGGGGCCGACUUGGCUGGGGGCCGAGUUGACUGACAUCCACAAGGAUUUGACUGUUGAUGAUUGGGCUUCUGUAAGUCCUGAUCAACAUCCACGCCCCCUAUGAUCCAUGGUUAGUCUGUCUUACCCCUUUAUGACCAAAAACAACCAGGUGCUAGUUCAGUACUACUUCAGUGUUGGUGCUUAGGUGGUUCAAAUGUCAUGCCUCCUAACAACCGGUUUGCUUUUCCAAGUUAGAGCCACGUCACUGCAUCACCGUAAAACUUUAGUAUGUCUUUGCAUGUGCUGUUCAACAGCGUUCAGCCACCGUAACCAUGCAAAGUGCUGUUCCUGGCUUUGCAAGCCUACAUUGCGACCCAGAAACAAAAAUCAAACUGAUAGUAGCUACCUGUCUUCAUCCUAGUCACAAGCAAUGGGGGAGAAGACAGGUAGUUGUCAGAGACAUUUUGAUUCUUAACAGUGAAUGUUAGUGUUAGCUUUGGCUCCUUAGUUUCAACUACAUUUGCAUUCAUUACAUAGCAGUUAAACAAAUGCAAAAAGUGUUUACCGGGUUCAGGAGUUCCUCGAAGUGCUCUUUCCACCGCUCGACGAUAUCCCCAGUGCAGGUCAACAGUUCUCCACCCCGACUGUACACAGCCUGAGCGAAGCCCUGCCUCCCCUUCCUGAGGUGUCGAACGGUUUGCCAGAACUUCCCCGAGGCCGACCGAAAGUCCUUCUCCAUGGCCUCCCUGAACUCCUCCCACACCCGAGUUUUAGCUUCCACAACUGCCACAGCUGCUGCCCUUUUGGUCAGCCAGUACCUGUCAGCUGCUUCGGGAGACCCCCGAGCCAACCAGGCUCGAAAAGCCUCCUUUUUCAGCUUGAUGGCCUCCCUUACCGCUGGUGUCCACCAGCGGGGUCUUUGGAUUGCCGCCGCGACAGGCACCAGUGAUCUUAAGACCACAGCUCCUAGCAGCUGCUUCUGCAAUGGAGGCUUUGAACAUGGACCACUCAGAAUCCAUGUCCCCAACCUCCCCCGGGAUGCAGGAGAAACUCUUCUGGAGGUGGGAGUUAAAAACCCUAUGGACAGGGCCCUCCGCCAGACGUUCCCAGUUCACCCGCACUACACGUUUGGGUUUACCAGGUCUGUCCGGCAGUCUGCCCCGCCAUCGGAUCCAACUCACCACCAGGUGGUGAUCAGUUGACAGCUCUGCACCUCUCUUCACCCGAGUGUCCAAAACAUACGGCCGCAGGUCUGAUGAUACGACUAUAAAGUCGAUCAUCGACCUUUGGCCUAAGGUGCUCUGGUACCAGGUACACUUAAGAGCAACCUUAUGUUCAAACAUGGUGUUUGUUAUGGACAAUCUAUGACUAGCACAUAAGUCCAAUCACAAAACACCACUCGGGUUCAGAUCGGGCAGGCAGUUCCUCCCAAUCACCCCCCUCCAGGUUUCUCCAUCAUUGCCCACAUGAGCGUUGAAGUCUCCCAGGAGAACUAUGGAAUCCCCAGGCGGUACCCCUUCCAGGACACCACCCAGAGACUCCAAGAAGGCUCUGAACUGCUGUUUGGCUUAUAAGCACAGACAACAGUCAGAGUUUUCCCCUCUGCAACACGAAGUCGCAGAGAGGCGACCCUCUUGUUCUCCGGGGAGAACUCCAACAAAGCGGUGCUCAGCCGGGGGCUUGUGAGUAUCCCCACACCCGCCUGGCGCCUCUCACUUUGAGCAGGAGAGAGUCCAACCCGUUUCCAGGAUUCUGGUUCCAGAACCCUUGCUGUGCGUGGAGGUGAGCCCAACUAUAUCUAGCCAGUAUCGCACCACCUCCCGCUCCAGCGCAGGUUCCUUCCCCGCCAGUGAGGUGACGUUCCACAUCCCUAGACCUAGUCUACACCACCAGGGGGCGGCACGCCCAGGCGCCCGCUCCUCCCUACUGCCCAGUGGACAUAGCACCCGACCCCGACUUCCUGCCCUGUAAGUGGUGGGCCUACUGGGCGGUGGCCCCGUGUGUCUUCUUCGGGUUGUGCCCGACCGAGCCCCACGGGACCCCAAGGCUCGGCCACCAGAUGCUCUCCUACGAGCUCCCCCCCCAGGCCUGGCUCCAGGGGAAGGCCCCGGUCUCCCUAACCCGGGCGAGGUAGCGGCUUCACCUUUGUGUGUUCUCAUCAGGGUUUUCUGAAUCGCUCUUAGUCUGGUCUCUCCCCCAGGACCAGUUUGCCUUGGGAGACCCUACCAGGGGCUUAUGCCCCGGACAACAUAGCUCCCAGGAUCACUGAGACACUCAAACCCCUCCACUAAUUCAGGUAUACACAUGAUUUCUUUUGACCUAGAUGACAAAAAAAAUUUACCUGCAAAUAUUUGUAAAAGGAAUUUGAUUCUUUUCAGACAGGUCACUGAAUGUAAGCAAUUUUCCAUCAAUAUAAAGAUCCCUUCAAUUCAAUUCAAAAGAACUUUAUUUUUCUGAUAAUGCCUGGAUGUCCUUAAUUUUCCGUAUUUUAAUUCCUCCAUCUUUUCUGCCAUGAUUAUUAUUCCAUAGAGGGGUAAACUGAUACAUAGUUACAAAUUCUCCCACGUCUGUGCGCUGUGUGCCAUAUAAUAAUAGUAUUUUUCAAGAAUGGUUUUUGGUUUUUUUUUCAGUUUUUAAAUCUGUGGAAUAAAGAGAAUUACAUAUUGGUAAUUCUGGAAUAGAUUGUUGUUCAAUAUUUACCCAAGCUGGAGGGGACUUUGUAUAAAAAUAAUAUGAAGCUGAUGUGAGCUUUGCCCCCAUAUAGUACCAUCUUAAAUUUGGAAUUUGUAGGCCCCCUCUUUCAUAAGGCAGGUAUAAGGAUUUAAGGCGUAGUGUUGCUUUCCUAUUAUUCCAAUCAAUCAAUCAAUCUUUAUUUAUAAAGCACUUUUCAUACAUUAGACAUGCAGCACAAAGUGCUUUACAUAGAAUAAAACGCACAGAGAAUAAAACACACACACACACACACACACACACGCACACACACGCACGCACGCACACACACACACGCUUACCCGAAGAGCCGCCCGAAGAGGAAACACCAUCUUUGAGAGCCGUCUGCACCCGGGGCAGCAGACGCCGACAGCCCAAACACCAGCCUAGGGUGCACCACGGCAGGGGCAGAGGGAAAGGCAGAAGCCUCCCCACCUCCCAAAAUGCCAGAGUGGAUCCCAGGCUGGUGUCACUGGACUGAGAGCCAGCCACAGCCCCAGAUGCAGACGGCCCCAAACUGAGGAAACAUAGGAAUGUAGAAUAAAUCAAAAAUAACUAAACGCAUUAAGAAUAUAACUAAGACUGUGUAAAACAGGAUCUUAAAACAAAUGUUAAAAUAAAUAAAAUACAUAAACAGAAGAGUACAUAAAAUAUAAAUAAGUGCAUACAUGUAGAUAUAAAUAAUAAAUACAGACAUAAAGGUAAAAGCCAAUGUAAAAAGGUGAGUCUUAAACCUGUUUUUGAAAGUCUCUACAUUCUCUGCAGCCCUCAGGUCCUCUGGCAGGCUGUUCCACAGACGAGGGGCAUAGUACUGGAAAGCUGCCUCGCCGUGGGUUGUUGUAUUAACCUUGGGAAUCAUUAAAAGGCCAGUGCCAGAGGACCUCAGGGUCUGUGAGGGCUCACAGGAUAAAAUUAGAUCUGAGAGGUAAGAUGGCGCAAGACUGUGAAGACAUUUAAAAACCAUUAAGAUAACCUUAAAAUCAAUCCUAAAGCACACAGGGAGCCAAUGCAGUGAUUUUAAACCGGUGGAAUGUGAGCCUGCCUUCUGGUCGUCGUCAGAACUCGUGCAGCUGAGUUCUGGAGUAAUUGGAGAUGGGAAAUAGUUUGAAUUGGCUAAAUACCUUAUUUAAGUUUUCAAAGAAGAAAGGUGGUAUUGGCAAGGGAAGUGUCUGAAAGUAAUACAAAAAGUUUGGCAAAAUUGUCAUUUUUAAAAUAUUUAUUUGCCCUAUCAUUGAUAUGGGUAAAUUAGACCAUACACUAAACACUUCUGUGACAUCUUCUACCAGGGGGUUAUAGUUUGCAGCAACUAUUAUAUUAUUAUAUUAUAUCUGGAAUAAUUUUAAUGCCUAAAUAUUGAAAACCAUCUGUUGCAAUUGUAAAUACAGUGUUUAGAGUAGGAUUUUUUUUCUGUUUUCUCAUUCAAAAACACAAGUAUAGAUUUUGUGUUCUUGAUUUUAUAACCUGAAUUCACCAAACUCAUCAAUUAACCUCACCAAGUUGGGAAGGGUGUCAUUGAGAUCUGUCACAAAAAAUAUGAUAUUGUCUGCAAAAAGUGAAAUACAAUGAUUUGGUCCUCCAAUACUGACACCUGAUAGUCCCUCUCGAGUUCUCACUGCAACGGCCAACGGUUCCAAAGCUACUGUGAACAGUAAUGGGGACAGCAUACACCCUUGUCUAGUCAAGUGCUGUAAAGGGUUUCGAGAUAUUAUUGUUAGUGAGAAUUUGUGCAGUAGGAUUUGUAGAUAACAAUCUAACCCAGUGAAUAAAUGAUUCUCCCAAACCAAAUCUUGAAAGGAGUUUUAAAAGAGAAUUCCACUCUAUUCUGUCAAAUGCUUGACAUGCAUCUACUGACAGCAUUGCUGUAUCUUUUGCAUCCAAUUUUUCAUUGAGGAGUUAAUUGAGGCUCCGCUCGUACCUGACUGUGAGACUUUAUUUUGUUCUCUUUAUUUUAUUGUUUUUUAUUAUUUUAUCGUUUAUUGAACCUUCACACAGGCUACUGUGGGCUGUAGCCCAUGCAAAAAUAACUACAAAAACCUGAUAGCUUAGCUCCAGAAUUAGUCGCCGUUCAUAGCUCUCUCUCGCUCGACACACACACUGGCAUGGAGUAACACACACAGACACACAACUGCCAACUCUGAGCCAAUCAGAGGUGAGCUAACUAUACACGGCACGUUCACUGACAUUAGGUAAACCUCCAACUGAGCAAUAAACAUUGAAAUCUCAACAUCAACAACAAUAUCAGUAUCAAUGCAUUUUUUAAAACAAGAAAACCAAAAGUGAUGAGCUGUAAACAUGUAUUAUAACUAACUAUAAAUUGUAUUUUGUACACCUCAGGAUGCCUGCUUCUUCAAAUAUUUGGGUACUAUGGAUUUGAAAGUGGAGGCACCAAGAGAUUAGUUAUCUAAUGUUUAACAUCAUGAAGUUGCCAUGGUGAUUGUCUGAAAACCACACAGUGGCUUCAUUAUGCAUCUGAAGUUUUGUCUUGUAUUAGUCAUGUAAUACUGUGAUAAAUGUUUUGGUACACCACAUAUUUUAAUGGUACACUAACAAUUCUUUAUUUAUUUAUUUAUUUAUUUAUUUUUACCAAAUCAUGGAUGGAUGCACCACAGCAUGAGGAAUCCCUAACAGCUGUCUUUCACUUUGCUACUGGAAGAUGCCUCAAAUUUCUAAUGGACUUUUCCAUGGUUUCUCAGCGGUGCCUGUUUUACUGUUCAUUGCCUCAAAAUGAAGAAUUUACCAAAAACAAACCAUGCUAACAAGAAUUAUAUGGUGUGUUACAGGUAUGGUGUUACUAAUGUCGCUCAUUGUAGAGUCAAGGUGUGUUCACACUGAACAGGAAGCCAGUUUUAUAGACAACAAAUCUGCAUAUAAAGUCAAAUUAAGACAGGCCUGAACAUGGACAGUCUGAAUGUUUAAAUUUGAAGUGUAACCCUUUGCGUGCCAGAGUUCAGAUAACAGAGUGUAACGGAUUUGAAUUGAGAAUGUUAAAAGAACAUGCAAAACAUUGAAAUACACUGAAAGAAUAGUUUACUUGAUGUGCCACAAUAGAAAUUAUCCAGGUGAUUUUAUGUAAUAAGUUAACAGACAAUCCAAUAUACAAUAUCACUCAAACUUUUGUAUGUGUACUUCUCAGUUCUGUCUGAACACACCUUUGGACAUUAGACGAUUGCAGCACUGUAAAAUUCUGUUUUGUUUGUUAAAUUGGUAGAACUUUUAGGUAUGUAUGCCUACUAUGAAGUCAAAUUACAAAAGCCCAAAAGGUAUAUAAAGGCACAAUUAUCUCUGAGGCCCUGAUGACAGUGUACUGACACAAUUUACAGGUUUGAAUCUUAGUAAUGUUUCAAUCUUAGUAAUGAUGAAAAUCACCACUUUUCUAUGCACAACAGUUCAUAUCACCAUAUGAAUAAUGUGAAUACGUGUGAAUAAUGCUUUUGUUUUUAAUCAAGUUUAUCUUAGUAAAAUCUGAGUGAAUAAGCUGCUGUAGACUGAUCUCAAUCCUAGAAAUGAAGUAUUCCAUGGUGGCAAAGAAAAUGCAUGAGCUGUGAUUGAUUGAUCUGUUGAAUUGUCUUUGAUUACUUUUGCUUUUGCUCUGGGUUGGACAAGUCUGGCUCAGGUGACAGCUGACAGCUUUGAAAAACUUGUUCCUGAACAGUUUAUGGUAAUGAUUACAAUAAUGUGUGGAAAAUAUGAUGUAUAUUAAAUAUAUCAGCUGCAAAUACAUUGAUUAAAUGAUGAAAAAUGACAUUUUAAGACAAGUACAACAUGAUUUUUCAGAUAUAUUUCUGCAUUGACAUUCAACUAUACUGACACUUUCUAAUAGAAUCAUCCCAAAUAUUUCAACAAUUGUAUACUGUAGUCCACUGCAGGGUGAGUGACCUGUGCAGCCCAAGUACUUGGUGUAAAAUUUUCAAUAAUUCAAUUCAAUUCAGUAUUAUUUACACUGUGCCAAUUACAUUUCAGAUUGUCUCAAGAUGCUUUACCGAAUCCAUAUACCUCAACCCGUAGAGCAAGCCCUAAGGUGACAGUGGCAAGGAAAAACUCCCUUUUAACAGGAAGAAACCUUGAGACGAACCUGGCUCAUAUUGGGGAACCAUGUGCCACUGGCUGGCCAGGUUGAGACAGACAGAACAGGUAGAGGACGAGGAUGAGAGGGAUGAAGAAAACAUAUAACACGCAGUGGCAAACAUGCAAGGAUCGAUGAUACAUACAAAGUGAUGCAUAAUGAAUAUAGUCAAUACCAGAGCCGUGCAUCACACCAGCAAACUUGACAAUCCGUUUCAAUGAUGGCUUGUACAUUGUAUAUAUCAUCUAUCUCACUGUUAUCAUGCAUAUGUUCCAAUAUGUGUUAUGUGUUUCUUCUAUAAAUCUAUAUGUUACUGUUAAUUGCUAUGUACUAAAAAUACCUAAUCAAAUUCCUUGUAUGUGAAAACCCACUUGAAAAUAAAAACCUUUCUGAUUCGGAUUCUUAUAGUCAUUUAGAUCAUACCUUUUCUUGUAAUCUAUUGAGAUUAACGUAUAUUUCUGCUGCAUAAUUAGGAAUUACAUAAUGGCUAAGGUUAAUGUACCAUUUUAGUCUCUCUUCUCUUCUUGUUGUCUCUCUAUAGAUUUAUAUGUCACCAUUACAGGUCACAAACACUGCAUCUUCUCUCUCCUCCAGUUUGUGUUUUGUCCUCUUUACAGGUACCUCUGGCUGCCAAGUGACAUAUUUCUGAUCUGCAAUUACAGGCUUCACCAAUCUGAAAGUGUUUAUUGCUUUUGCACUGCUUGUCUGUUUUCACUAUUUACUUGCAACUAGACUAGAGAUGGGAAUAUGGAAUUUAUAGAAAGCUACUACAGUGGCAGGCCUAAUGAAGGAGACCAUAUGUAAUGCAUGUAGAACCUGUGGAUGGGUUGUAGACUGACUGAUUGAUGUGGACAUCAGUCAAGAAGCAUCUGGUAGCACAUUGCUCUAAAAACAUAUAGUAGGGAGGUUAAACCCAAAAAAUACGCUUUUGACUUCAAGUCAUGAUGCAAAGGUCCCCUUUGGUAUGGAAGUACCUUAGGGUCAUACAAAUAAAUUUAUCCUAAGACACAAGUGAGAUCACCUUUUGUAUUGGAAAUAAACACAUUUUUUCAAAAAUGGCCGCCAAUGUGCUGAAAAUCCUCUAGAGCACAUAUCCUUGCUUCUCUUAUAGGUAUAAUGACAACCUUGGUGUCAAAGUGUACAUUUUUGUGGUCAAGGAACCCAAUAAAAUAAGUUUCAAGUUUAAAAUACUAAUGGCUUUCCCUUUACCAUGACAACUGGGGGUAAAGAUGCACAUUUUACAUAAAAAUUGUGUCAUCAGAGUGACUUUAUUUAUCAUUUCCUUCAAAAAGUUUUUCAUUAAAGCAGUGCAACUACUUCUGUACAUUACAUGUGUCCUAAGUAGCAUGAGAUUUCAACUGGUCGGGAGUAGCAUAUGCUCAGAUGGACCAGCCAGGGAUUGUAACAGCUAUAGCAGCUGUUGAAGGUCCAAAGUGACAGGUCGACACUUUGAGGUUCGUAUGCCUUUCUCAUUGAAUAGAAAAUAUUUUUUAAAGUUUGAUAAUUAAUAACUAGCUAGUUAAUAAAUAGUUCGCUACAUUAUAGCUAGCUAGCUACCAACUACUUAGCUUCAUUAUUGAAGCAAGCACAUAGCCUACAUUUUGCUAGUUAGUUAGCUUCAUUAUUAUACAUACCGGUAUAUACACAAAUGAAUUUCACUUUAGCUUAUUGCAUAUGAUAGCUUGCUAACUCUAAUUAAGUGAGUGUGUGUCGUCUGUUGGAAAGUCUGAUACCAGCAUGAAGGAAGGACCUGCGGUAACGCUCCUUCACACACCUGGGAUAAUCAGUCUGUCACUAAAGGAGCUGUCUGGUGCCCUCAGAGUGGGGUGGGAGAUGCUGCCCAGCAGGGAUGUUAGCUUGGCUAACAUCCUCCUUUCUCCCACCACCUACACUGGAUCCAGGGGGCUCCCCAGGACAGGGCAGGCCAUCCUGAUCAGCCAAUCAAGUCUGCUUUUGCCAGCAGCUGUUAUGCUGCUGCCCCAGCAAACUACUCCAUAUAAGAUGGCCGAUGCCACCACAGAGUCAUAAAAAGUCUUCAGGAGUGUCCCCUACACCCCAAAAGACUGCAGUCUCCUCAUUAGACAGAGUUUUGACCCUUCUUCUAAAGUGCUGUGGCGUGGUCUGACCAGUCCAGUUUAUUGUUCAGGUGAACACACAGGUACUUGUAUGAGUCCACUCUCUCCAUGUCCAUGCCCUGGAUGUUCACCAGUGGUGGGGGUGUGUGACUGCGCCUGUGGAAGUCUAUCAUCAGUUCUCUGGUCUUUCCUGAGUUGAUCUGUAGGCAGUUCCACUGGCAUCAGUCCACAAAGUCCUGGUUCAGUUCUCUGCACUCCCAAUCAUCAUCAUCAUCUGAGAUGAGACCGAUGACUGCAGAGUCAUCACCAUUGUUCCCUCUAAUUUUUCAUGAGUCUGAGCAAACACACAAAUUCACUGAGCAGACCCUUGGACCACUGUGAGCAACAUCAGACGUGUGCACUGUGGUCACGCCAGCAUGGCAUCCAUCCAAGUUACAUGGUUUGCUAAAAGAACCAAAUGACAGCAUUUACAUUUCUGUUAAACACUUUGUCAGCAGGAGCCUGUCGAAGGCUGCAGUGAUUUUGGUGAUGCUACAAUGUAUAAUAGUGAAGUUAUUGAAUAUUUUUGUGUCUUUUUGCUGUUGUAGACGGUCCCUGUUCACUCCAUAGACACCCGUGUUAUUUCUGCAGCUUGAAAGACAGCUACUUUUGAUAAAACUGGGCUUGUAGCACAUUGUGUGCCUUACAGCGAUGGGAAAGAGGCAUCGUUUAUGUUUUUGACAACCUAUAUCUAACGAGUUAUAGAUGCUGGAACUCUGAAUCUGUGAAUAUCUUUCCAACUUUACUGAACUUGGGGCCACUACCACCCGAGGAGUGGCAUAUUUAAUUUUGAAAAAAGCAUUUAGCAAUACUUAAAGCUUUAAGUGCUUUAUUAACACGGAACUAAGACUUUUGCAUUCUUUUAUGACAACAGGUUAUGUCUGAAAAGAAGUGGUAUCAUUUUAAACAGUGAAACUAUACUAAUGAAAUAAAAUGUAAUGACCAACCAGUGUGUAAUACUGGCGAUACUGCGAGCAGCGGAGCUUCUACAGCUGAUCGCCGCUGCUUGGGACACACCGCUGCUGCUGGUACAACCGUGUCCGACCAGUAGCGCGAACGCAGAAAUGCCCGGCAGUAGCCGACCACGCGAGUUUCGUGUUGCGGUGACGGACUGGCUUGAGUCCGUGCCAAAUCAAAUUUUCAAAAUCAUCUGGCGGGCCAGAUAUUAUUCCUGACGGGCCAGUUUUGGCCCGCGGGCCGCCAGUUACCGACCACUGCUGUAGAGUCUAUGACCACAUCAGCAGGAUUAUAAGCAUAAUCUGGUAAAUUCACAAACAUAUACUGUAGGAAAUCCAACUUAUCUCAUCAUGACCUGCAUGACCUCUCUAGUCUCAUGUUUCUUACAUGUUUGUCUCCUGAUGCUGCCUUACUUCAGCUAGUCCACGAGCAACAGAAAACACAGUUUUUCUUGUACCCAUUGCCAGGGGUUCGAGUCUUCCCACUCAAACAUUUUUGCUUCUUUGGACAUGGUGGAGUUACGGGUGUAGACAUUUUUAAAUGUGCAGAGCAGUGCGCAGAACAGACGCUGCUGUCUGUAACCAGGCAACCUGCGACAGGACCAUAGGACCGGGCAUACAAAGAAGCAUAGAUAUAUAUAGAAGACUAGAUACGCUAGCGUGCUGUAGCAGCCGGCUAACAUGGCUGCACAUAGGACAUCUGUAAAGGACGUUGAUUAGCUGCGUAAAUACCUAUGUGAAUCACAUCAUUGGCUGGAGCAGCCAGUCACGGGUCACUCACUGACUCACACUGAAAAAUAGCACAGAAUGAAUUGUUAUGAAUUUAUUUUAUUUUCAAUUUAGGUUGGAUUUUUUUUUGUGCGCAGCGCAGAUUUUCUGUGUGCUGAGACUGUGUCAGGAGUGCGCAAUUGCGCACGUGUGCAGCUUACAGGGAACGGUGGUCAUCAGAGAACUUCUGCAGAUGACAGCUGGCUGAGUGGUCCAUGAAGUCUGCAGUGUACCGGGUGAAAAGAAACGGAGCCAAGACCAUUCCCCGUGGGGCCCCUGUGCUGCAGACCACCAUGUCAGACUCACAGUCCUGUGUCCUCACAACCUGUGGUCUGUCUGUGAGGUAGUCCAUUAUCCUACCCAAGAGGUGGUGAUCCACUCCUGUGACAUCCAGCUUGUCCCUCAGAAGAACCGGCUGAAUCGUAUUAAAACCACUGGAGAAAUCAAAGAACAUGAUUCUCGCAGUACUUGCAGGCUUCUCCAAAUGGGACAGAGCUCUGUCCAGGGGGAAGAUGACAGUGAUGGCAAUCAUGUUAAAAAAAAAGCUGUAGAUAAGAUCAAGGACCCUCCUGAAGUGGUGCGAGUCACUAUGUAGUGCAGGUGAUGAGUUAAAAUCCAGCCAUGUGGCACAAAAGCUGCAGAAAUGCUGUUGCAUCACAGAGGCUACUUCACCCAUCAAAAUCAUACGUGUUGCCACUGUUCACAGAGUCGUCUACCAGCCCCACUAUAGCUUAGCAUGCAAUGAAAGUCCUCAGACAAAUAAUCAGGUACCUUAGCCCAGGUCAGACAUCCAUGCUCCAGAGAUUUGUCCCGAUGCUCUGUGGUGUAUCUGAGGACAACAUCACAACUGUGGAAGCUGCACAACUCUCCCUCUUCUUUCACAAAGGAAAAGAUUUUCACCACAUUCCACCAAGUAGUGAUGCACUCCAUCAGCACCUCCUUCAAGUAGCUUGUCAGAUAGGAAAAAAUUGUGUAGGGACAUAAUAUAAAUAUGGCUAAGAAUAAUGGAGGGCCUUGGUAUCACGGAUCAUGUUUCUCUUUAGAGUGGACAUGUAUGGGGCAAGGCACUUGUCCAACACCACAAUUUUUCCGUGUCUAUGGGGAUGGCAGCAGAGUUCCCCAGACUCUCCACCAACUCCUGUCUACACUACAACUGCCACUAUUUCAAAGGACUUGCCUGAUCUUGUCAUGUGCAAAUUUAAGACUGGCUGUAAGGCACCUUGCAAAUGCUGCAUGCAGAGACUGCUUUGCAUGUCUUUCUGUGGAUGUCAUGGCUCAUGUUCCCACCGUUGUGCAGACAUCUAUAUAGUCAAUCAUCUUUGUGAUGUAUUUACACCAAGCUAUUAGUCUUCAUCACUAAAAAAAUGUAGGUAUGGCAUUGCCUACUUCUAAAAUGUGAACAUACACUAAUGGAAAUAAAUGUUAGAGCACCUUUGUUUUCCUCAGUUUCUUGUUCAUUUUAAUUCCCGGUACCACUAAAGGUACAUUUGUUUGGACAAAUAUAAUGACAAAAACAAAAAUAAUUCAUGAGAGUUCAAUUUCAGAGCUGGUAUCAGACAUUUUCCAUGGUUUUCUUGAUAAUAACCAAAAGCACUUCAGUUCUUCCAUCAAUAGCUAUGGCAUUGCUCUACCAAAAACAGCUUUUAGGAUUCCAUGUUUUCUUUUCUGCCUGUUUUAGUCCCAUGAUCCACACAGGAGUUAGUACUGAUCCAUAACCAUUGUUUCUGAUGACUGCAGCCAUGCAUUUUGGCAUGCUCUCUACCAGCUUCUGACAUUGUUCUGCUGUCACAGCAACCCAUUCCUGUUGCAUGAAUUCUAAAUAAUUUGCUUUGUUUUGGGGCUUGUGGUUCUCCAUUUAGAUUCCUUGACCCCAAAAAUGUACACUUUGACACCCAGUUUGCCAUUAUAGCUAUAACAGCCUUUCAAGGAUGGUCGGCGGUCAUUUUAAAAAUGGCCGCCAAAGUGUGAUCUCACUUGUGUCUUAGGAUAAAUUUACUUGUAUGACCCUAAGGUACUUCCAUACCAAAGGGGACCUUUGCAUCAUGAUUUGAAGUCAAAAGUCACUUAACCUCCCUACUAUAUUGAUGUAUGUCUUCGAUUCUGAUCAUGCAUGUAAAAUCUGAGUCAGAUUGGAGAAUGCAGAGGAUAAUUACACAGCAGUUAUGUUUAAUAGCGAAGCAUAAAAAUUCUGGAGGCUGCCAUGGCCACGCCCUCUGACUGAAAAUGAAAAUUUUGAUAUUUUUUGAUCACAAAUACUUGUUGUACAUACUGAUAAAGUUUGAGGUCUUUUGGAGUUACCCCCUAUGAGGACUACACUUUCAAAAAUGACAAAAAUCCCCAAAAUUCUCACAAUUACUCCAAGAUGGCAGACUUCCUGUUGGGUUUCGGGCAUGGCUCCAAGAGGCUUUUUCUGUGUCUCUAUAGGCCUCCCAAAUUUCGUGGAUGUAGGUUAAACACACUUCGGGGGCUGUUUGGUAAUAAUGCUGCAGGGAGCGCUAUAGCAUGUGCGGCGAGAUGCAUGCAGUGUCCUUCCUUGGGUCAAUGGUGAUGUGUGUGGUAAUUUUGAUGAGCGCUGAAGUAUUAAUAACCUGUCAAAAAUUAUUUUGUUUGCCACAGCGAUAUUUGGUUUCUAAGGCAACAGCAUUGCAGGAAGUGUCAAAGCCUUCAGGGUGUGGAGUUGUCAAGAGGUGAAGACUGGGCUGACCAAUUUCAAGCAUUAUAUCACAAAAUUUCAGGCCAUAGUACCCGAAAAUAUAAUGCCUUAAACUUACUGUUACCAACAGGUGGUGCUUUGAUUUUUUUGAAAAUGUUUGAGUGUGGAUGUCUUCAGUGUUCCUCGUGUCCAGCAUGUGAAGUUUUGAGCAGAUAGGAUCUUGUGCAGCUGAGAUAUAAAUUUUGAUGCUUUGCCAUGAAACAUAGCUGCUGUGUAACUAUCCUCUGCAUGCUCCAAUCUGCCUCAAAUUUUACAUGUGUGAUCAGAGUCCAAUCCUGAUCCCAUCUUUAGGCCAAUAUACACUCUCGAUUGCAGCGCCACCUGGUGGAUGAACAGGAAAUGCUCUGUAAAUAGCCUGUACAUGCUCCAAUCUGUCUGAAACUGUUACAGUCACAGCUGUGACUAGGUGGCAGUGCUCUCCCCUCCUCUGGCCUGUUUUUUUUCUCUCUCUCUCUAGGUGUGUGGCGGUGGUGGUUGGCAGGUGUGGCUGGUUUCCAAUCAGCUGAUCGGGUGCAGGUGGGAGUCGCUCAUCAGGCUGGCUUGGUUCAUUAUAAAGAGUGACUCGUCCCGUCUGUUGGUGCUGGACCGUAUCUUAAUUACAUAUCGAUUCCUGCCUGCUUGCAACCAUCAAUCCCGGCUGGAAAACCUCCUGCCCAGGCAUCCGUGCGUCACAAGGACUGAGGGCUUCUCCUAGGAACCGCUGUGGGUGAGGAGGAAUUUGGAUUCGGCCAAACCAUAACUAGAACGCCGUUCUGGUCGGAAAUUGGAGACCCUCGUUCCUGUCUGUAUUCCAUCUGCGUGCCAAGGACUCCAUUCACAGGAUGCCUAUAACUUGAGUUUCCACUCCAUGGCAAAAACAGAGAGACUAUUCAGUUAAGUUCUCAUUCUGGCUGUAUCAGAGAGCAGAGCUUGUUGUUACGUUUAGUUUGCACCUACUUGAGUAGAGGGAAUUCUGGGUUUUUUGGAUUUAAGUUCUAUUGUAGUGUUUCUGCCUUCCCACUCGGGGAAAUGUAGUGCUGUUACGCUUGAUGCAUAUUCUGAGUUGUUUCCUGUUUCCAGUUCCUGUUGUGCUUGUUUUGUUUUUGCCCUAGUGCAAUAAAUCUUUGUUUCAACUGGG
RNA transcript from Acanthochromis polyacanthus (spiny chromis), 19923 nucleotides. It is a transcript of the gene named melatonin receptor type 1B-B-like, with no coding region annotated. NCBI's taxonomy places the organism in Eukaryota, Metazoa, Chordata, Actinopteri, Pomacentridae. The transcript has 4 exons. The record is from RefSeq and is a predicted model, not a curated record.